CGGAGUACAUUGACUGUACCAGUCCGAGAUUCAGAACAAACACCGAUACAGAAAAAUAAUUUCAGAGAAAUGCGAGAAUAAGAAAAAAAUAGAUGAGAAAAUUAAAAUUAUUUUAAAAAAUAAAGGCCGAAAUAAUAAGUUCGAGACAUCUAUGUUUUCCUUCAUUUUUGGCCGAAAUCGGGAUACUAAGCAAAUGAUGGAGCAAGAAGAUUUGUGUGGCAUGCCAUCGGCCUAUGGUUGAAACUUGAAGAAGAUAGGAUCAGAUGUAGAUGCCUUGAACCUUCAAGAACUUUCAAGGAUAAUGGAAUGCUGUCUUAAUCUACUAUAAAAACUAAAGUAAAAUAAAAAAAUUAAUAUAAAAGAGAUUUUAUUAUAAGUGCUCUUAACUAGUAUAAUGGAUGCUAAUACUUAGCUUUAGACACCAGUUCUUAUUAUUAUAUGCUACAUAGGCCAUUAUUACCAAAGUAAAUAGUGCUUCCUUUCUUCUCACGUCAUGGGUAGUGAAAAGAUGAGAACCACAACUCAUUUUGUAUACUUGUCUUUGCUAUGAUAUGCCACAUAGGCCACUUUGGCCACACUUGGUGGAUAGUAUUGCCCUCCUCUCACAUCAUGGAUAGUAGAGAAAUAGGUACCACUAUUUAUUUUGGAUAUUUAUCCUUUCUAUUAUAUGCUAUAUGGGCCAUUAUUUUCCACUAUUGUAGGUAAUGUGAUCACUUUUCCCACAUAAUGGGUACUGAAAACAUUUGGCUAGCCACCAUUCUAUGACUCUACUCUAUUAAAGCCUCAUCCUAGGCCGAUAACUCUCGCUCUCCAAGUAUACAUCCCAAUUACUUGGCAUGUACACUUAGCAUACUGGCUUGCACUUUUGGCGCAUCGGUCUACGCUCUUAGCGUAUCAACCUGCACUCUUGACGUACCAGUCUGUAGGUCUACACUUUUAGCGCACCAGCAUACAUUCUCAAUAUUUCGACUUGCUUUUUUUUAGUACUUGGUCUAAGGUUGACAUCUUUCUAAUAGUAAAUUGGCUUAGUAACUAUGUAUUUUAUCCUGUUGUUCAAGUACUUCGGCCUAUCGUAGAUGCCUCACUAAAGAGGUUCAACACAUAAAAAGAAUUCUCUCCAACUCUUCACAUAACUCUCCGCCCUUAUUUAUAAUAUUACACUCUCUCUCCUACUGCAAAAUAAAAACAUUAGCAUCUCACUCCAACUUAAAAAUUGACUUAAAUAUAUUAAGCCCAAGACUCAACUUAACUAAAAUAAGCCAACACUAAAAGAUAAACUAUUCCAACUAAAAUUGAAAUAAAAUAUAAAGAUAAACUAAAAAUAAAAUCCUAAUACAAGUGGGACAAGCAAUGAACUUCCAACAUGAAAUGCAUUUUCAUGCAAAUGGCUAGGAUCCCACAGCUCAACGAUGACUUGUCCAAGAGUGAUAUUAGCUAAAACUCCAACCUUAGUAUAUAAAAGAAAGAAAGCAUGCUUAUUGCUCAAAAUAUUGCAGUAUAAAAGUUUAAAUGGAAGAGAAACAUGUUUUAGUUUUAUUUCUAAAAAAAUGCUUUAAUUAAUGUUUUGCUACUCUAAUAUAUGCAUGAUGAAUUGACAAACAAAUCAAAGUAUAGACAAUAAUUUUCAUACAGUCAUAACAAUGUGUCAAGCAAGGACGAAGAAAUUGGCAAAAUGAAAACCCUAGAUUUCCAUUUAAGCGCCCGUCCUAUUUUUUAGGCAAAUAAAUUGCAAGAACCUCCAAUGAAGUAGACCUCUCCUAGGGCGUAGAUAAAUUCGGUAAUUGCAG
This 1787-nucleotide long non-coding RNA is filed under the name Phoenix dactylifera (date palm). RNAcentral's name for it is "long non-coding RNA (PDAC_LNC013808)". Lineage: Eukaryota; Viridiplantae; Streptophyta; Magnoliopsida; Arecales; Arecaceae. The record is from RNAcentral.